RNAcentral lists this ribosomal RNA (206 nucleotides) under uncultured bacterium. RNAcentral describes it as "partial 16S ribosomal RNA". It matches the Rfam family "Bacterial small subunit ribosomal RNA", at positions 1294 to 1500 of the family's 1533-position model. The record is from RNAcentral.
CGGAUUGCAGGCUGCAACCCGCCUGCAUGAAGUUGGAAUCGCUAGUAAUCGCGGAUCAGCAUGCCGCGGUGAAUACGUUCCCGGGCCUUGUACACACCGCCCGUCACACCAUGAGAGUCGGGGACACCCGAAGUCCGUAGCCUAACCGCAAGGGGGCGCGGCCGAAGGUGGAUUCGAUAAUUGGGGUGAAGUCGUAACAAGGUAUC